This is a long non-coding RNA of Sorghum bicolor (sorghum), 2495 nucleotides long. RefSeq lists it as uncharacterized. NCBI's taxonomy places the organism in Eukaryota, Viridiplantae, Streptophyta, Magnoliopsida, Poales, Poaceae. The transcript has 5 exons. The record is from RefSeq and is a predicted model, not a curated record.
UCUCGCGCCGCCGCGGUCUCUCUCUCUCUCUCCACAUGAGGCAGUGCACCAGGUGGGCACCUGCACUGGCCGCUCUCCGACGCGGUGGCGCACCAGUGCCUCCGGAAUUUGGCCAUGGCCGGAUCCAGGGCGGCGGCGGCUAUGCCCUCCCCUGUGCUAGGCGCACCUCCCUCUCAGGGCGGCAGCAGCUAUCCCCUCCUUUGUGCGAGGCGCCCCCCCUCUCUCUGUCCCUAUGCUCUAUCGACAUGGUGGUACAACAGCCGGCGGUGGCCACGGCCACGAGCCCUCUCCUCCUCCCCCGAUAUGGCUCAAUGCGGAUGGGUCUCGACCAUGCCGUUGCCAGCGCAGGGCAGAAGUAUGGCCUGGAAAGCAGCUCGUCCUCAUCUUCAUGCCUCUUCCUUUGUCCCACUAUGGUUGUGCAUAGGGCUCAAUACUGCCACAUUUGGUAUAGAGCAGCCUCAGGUCCAUUACAAUUUUGAAUGUUGAUUGAUUUGCAGUAGAGGGCACGCCAUCACUACUGCUUGCCAACUUAUCUGACCACAAAGUGGUGGUAACAUAUUUCCCUUGUCAGCAGAGCAGCGAUGUUCAACUCCAGUAACAUUCUGCAUAUGUUCAACUCCAGUAACAUUUUGGAUAGGCAGACUACUCUGAGCAGCAGAAAUUUUGCAGGCCUUUAAAAGACCAUGUUGGUUUGGAAAGACAAAUGUCACUGGGAAUUAAUGUUAUUUAUCUCACCAUUUCCUCUGAAUUAUAUAGGCGCUGCAGUUGUAUUUUCAUGACAUGUUUAUGGCAUACUCAUAAUUGAGCCAGCUGAGAUCAAGGUAAACAUAUGUAACUUUUCUCUUACCGAUCGACAUGGAAGACAUGUAGGAUGUAGUCCAGAACAGCUUCACAGUUGUUGCUUACAUGAUUUUUUGUGGUCAUACAUUGCUCCAUAAACUGCCUUUUGCUGUAUUAUAAGUCUAGAUGGGUUAAUUUGUGUUUGUUUAUUUUCAGAUAAAAAUGAUUGCAGGUUUAUACACAAAAAAUUGAUGGCUUCAUUUGUAUUUGCGAACCCAGCCAAAAAUGGUCACAUGUUUAGUUUAAUGAAAUUUUGGGAUGGUUGUUGUAGGUUUGGCUCUCAACUUUUUCUUUUUUUUUUGUUUCUGCCUAUACAAUCUGCUACAUGCCAGCCUUCUUUUCCAGAAGUCCCUUUCCAAUCUUAUUUUUUUACUGCUCCCACUGACCUUUACAGUAUGCCGUCUAAUGAAAAUAGUGGGAACCAAAAAGUGUUAGUGGACAAAAAUUAGUAUGUACACUUUGCAGGUUAUCAGCUUCCUUCAUGCCUUAUUUGUACUAAUGUUUGCUUUCAUCACAAAGUGUACAUACUAAUUUUUGAUAUUUCAGCCUCAUGAUGCUUAAACCUAAUCAGAAUGUUAUUAUUUUUUUCCAGUUGAGUAUCCACGCCUAGCUCAGAUAGAAAGACGGAUACAAGAUCUUGAAUCUACUCUCCCACUUGACAAUGGUUUGGAAAAAGUAGCAUCAUAUAUGUUGAGCCCUAAAAUAUACACAUCUUGGCUCGAACAGCCCUGAACUCCCAUCGCCAACAACUAACUGUGCUUGCUUGUGCUAAUUCUGGCUCUUUGUCGAUGAUGUGGUCAUUCCAGUCAGGGGUUUUUUUUAGGUUCUCCUGCAGGUUGUGGUCAUUUAAUGUUUCUCUACUUCCAUUUGUCAUGUACCUUUUUAAGCCUUAUAUAUCCCCUUCCAGUUUCAGUUUUCAUUUGCUUUUGAAAUGGAAUGUCUAUAGUUUGCAUAGAUGCAACUUCACAUUGGUUGAUGUUAUUUCCUCAAUUCGUUCCAUGAAUUUCAGCUAACAUUGAUCUUCUAUGGGUUCAAUUUUAAAUUUAUGUUCCAAUUAUUUUCUUAUAUUUUUCAGCCCUAAAAUAUACACAUCUCGGUUCGAACAGCCCUGAACUCCCAUCGCCAACAACUAAAUUGUGCUUGCUUGUGCUAAUUCUGGCUCUUUGUCGAUGAUGUGGUCAUUCGAGUCAGGAUUUUUUUAGGUUCUCCUGCAGGUUGUGGUCAUUUAAUGUUUCUCUACUUCCAUUUGUCAUGUACCUUUUUAAGCCUUCUAUAUCCCCUUCCAAUUUCAGUUUUCAUUUGCUUUUGAAAUGGAAUGUCUAUAGUUUACAUAGAUGCAACCUUACAUUGGUUGAUGUUAUUUCCUCAUUUUGUUCCUAUGUACAGCAAAGAAAAAGGUGAAGAAGGCAGUCACAUUUACUAUACAUAGUAGAUCAAGAAAAUAGUUGCACACCUCUUGCUGAAGUUCAUGGAGGCAUCGGCCACAAGAGUGUCGUCCUUCUCAGGCAACAGAUGAUGCUUCCUGUCAAUCGCUAAUUGGGUUUGCACAACUGUCGUGUUGUUGACUGAUAAGGACCUUGUCAACUAGACCAUCAAAGCAGACUUAGUGGAUAUCCACGUGAGUACAAGCAUUAGCUUCUAUAUGUUGUUUCACC